GCGAGGGUGGUGGAAUGGCAGACACGCAGGCUUGAGGGGUCUGUGUCGCAAGACGUGAGGGUUCAAGUCCCUUCCCUCGCA
This 81-nucleotide transfer RNA is filed under the name Desulfuribacillus alkaliarsenatis. RNAcentral describes it as "low GC Gram-positive bacterium strain AHT28 tRNA". It matches the Rfam family "tRNA". Rfam says of the family: Transfer RNA (tRNA) molecules are approximately 80 nucleotides in length. Their secondary structure includes four short double-helical elements and three loops (D, anti-codon, and T loops). Lineage: Bacteria; Bacillati; Bacillota; Desulfuribacillia; Desulfuribacillales; Desulfuribacillaceae. The record is from Rfam by way of RNAcentral.